CUGAAGUCUGCAGGAUGGUAGCUCUCCAGGAGCAGGGUUGGAGAUCCCUGAACUAAACCAACAGGGUCCUAGAACUGCGGUCCUGAAACUGCAGCCAUCGCUAUAUCAUCCAUUACGAAAAAAAACCAUGACCAGGGUGGAAAAUCUCCAAAAGUGAAACCAGGCACAGCUGGAGGUGGUGUGCUUCUGCAGGAAGAUGAGUCAUUCGCGUCAGCUAAUCCUAAUGCCCGGGGGCCUUUGACUCGAGCGCUAGGCCCCAGGGGACCUGGACCUCUACCUGGCCAACCAGGGGCAGGCAGGGGUCAAGAGCUAACACCUAGAAGGGAGUAAUCUGUGAUCUAGUCAUAAUUGUGUGCCCUGUUGGUCUACACACUCUAUAAUUAAUGUAAACUUUUUUUUUUUUUCAUCUUCAUUGAACAAUAUGGAUAGUUUUCUCAUUUACAGCUUGGAAAGUGUUCUCUCGUUUUGUUUGUUUUUGUUUUUUUUAAAAUGCUUGCUUUGGUAUUUUGUUGAUGCAGUGAGAUGUAUUUUUAAUUGUGUCUGAAGUGUCUAAAUUCUCUUUGGGCCUACUGUAUGUGUUAUGUGUUUAAUGCAUUUAUAUUAUACCACCACAUAUAUCUGCUUUAUUAUUGAACUAC
Molecule: long non-coding RNA, 638 nt
Organism: Cyprinus carpio carpio
Lineage: Eukaryota; Metazoa; Chordata; Actinopteri; Cypriniformes; Cyprinidae
Source: Ensembl